RNAcentral lists this ribosomal RNA (468 nucleotides) under uncultured bacterium. RNAcentral describes it as "partial 16S ribosomal RNA". It matches the Rfam family "Bacterial small subunit ribosomal RNA", at positions 28 to 507 of the family's 1533-position model. The record is from RNAcentral.
GACGAACGCUGGCGGCGUGCCUAACACAUGCAAGUCGAACGGAAAGGCCCUGCGUUUGUGGGGUGCCCGAGUGCCGAACGGGUGAGUAACACGUGAGUAACCUGCCCUUGACUUUCGUAUAACUUCAGGAAACUGGGGCUAAUAUCGGAUAGGAGCUCCUGCUGCAUGGUGGGCGUUGGAAAGUCUCGGCGGUUGGGGAUGGACUCGCGGCUUAUCAGCUUGUUGGUGGGGUAGUGGCUUACCAAGGCUUUGACGGGUAGCCGGCAUGGGAGGGUGACCGGGCACAAGAGGACUAAGGGACGGCGCAGACUGCAACGGGGGGCAGCAGGGGGGAGUAUUGCACAGUGAGCGGGAGCGUGAGGAGGAGGCGCCGCGUGCGGAAUGACGGCCUUCGGGUUAAGAACCGCUUUCGCCUGAGACGAAGCGGGAGUGACGGUAAUGGGUAAAGAAGCACCGGCUAACUACGUG